RNAcentral lists this ribosomal RNA (222 nucleotides) under uncultured bacterium. Its description in RNAcentral is "partial 16S ribosomal RNA". It matches the Rfam family "Bacterial small subunit ribosomal RNA", at positions 113 to 334 of the family's 1533-position model. The record is from RNAcentral.
CGACGUAAAGAACCUGCCUCACAGCUAGGGACAACAUUUAGAAAUGAAUGCUAAUACCUGAUAUUAUGAUUUUAAGGCAUCUUAGAAUUAUGAAAGCUAUAAGCACUGUGAGAGAGCUUUGCGUCCCAUUAGCUAGUUGGAGAGGUAACAGCUCACCAAGGCGAUGAUGGGUAGCCGGCCUGAGAGGGUGAACGGCCACAAGGGGACUGAGACACGGCCCUU